GGGAAGAUGUAUUCUAUCGCUGCCCGCGUCAGCGGGGAGAGGAAAGUCCGGACAACACAGAGCACCAUACUUCCUAACGGGAAGGUCCCGGGAACGACCGGGAACAGCAAGUGCCACAGAAAACAACCGCCUAAGUCCUGGCAACCGGGACCGGCAAGGGUGAAAACGUGGAGUAAGCGCCCACGCUUCGUUAUGGUGACAUAACGCAGGGGUAAACCUUAUGGGUUGAAAGGCCAAAUAUACCGGGGCUUAAGGGCUGCUCGUCCAAUCCCGGGGGGUAGGCCGAUGGAUCCUGCCGGCGACGGCAGGGCUAGAUAAAUGAUAGAAGCCCGGCAUGCCGGGAGACAGAAUCCGGCUUACAGCAUCUUCCCGGGC
This 375-nucleotide RNase P RNA is filed under the name Lentimicrobiaceae bacterium. Its description in RNAcentral is "RNase P RNA component class A". It matches the Rfam family "Bacterial RNase P class A". From Rfam's summary of the family: Ribonuclease P (RNase P) is a ubiquitous endoribonuclease, found in archaea, bacteria and eukarya as well as chloroplasts and mitochondria. Its best characterised activity is the generation of mature 5'-ends of tRNAs by cleaving the 5'-leader elements of precursor-tRNAs. Lineage: Bacteria; Pseudomonadati; Bacteroidota; Bacteroidia; Bacteroidales; Lentimicrobiaceae. The record is from RNAcentral.